AUAUUGAGUAUUGGCAAAGGUUUAUAUAUCUUAGCUUUACCAUAGCACUCGAGUGUUAUUUCUUAGAAGGGGCAGUUUCUAUUUGGGGACCAAAUCCCUCUUCUCUAAGAGCUCCAAAUUGUUGGUUUGGCUGUGUGUAUAACAGAGCUCUGCAGCAUAUCUGCCAAUGUUUCCUUCCCAUCUUCUGGCACAGAGGUGAGCAGGGAAAAGAG
This is a non-coding RNA of Pelobates cultripes (western spadefoot toad), 212 nucleotides long. The record is from the annotation of a GenBank genome assembly. NCBI's taxonomy places the organism in Eukaryota, Metazoa, Chordata, Amphibia, Anura, Pelobatidae.